RNAcentral lists this ribosomal RNA (440 nucleotides) under uncultured bacterium. RNAcentral's name for it is "partial 16S ribosomal RNA". It matches the Rfam family "Bacterial small subunit ribosomal RNA", at positions 338 to 795 of the family's 1533-position model. The record is from RNAcentral.
CCUACGGGAGGCUGCAGUGGGGAAUAUUGCACAAUGGGGGAAACCCUGAUGCAGCGACGCCGCGUGAGUGAAGAAGGUAUUCGUUAUGUAAAGCUCUAUCAGCAGGGAAGAAAAGGACGGUACCUGAGUAAGAAGCCCCGGCUAACUACGUGCCAGCAGCCGUGGCAAUACGUAGGGGGCAAGCGUUAUCCGGAUUUACUGGGUGUAAAGGGAGCGUAGACGGCAGUGCAAGUCUGGAGUGAAAGGCGGGGGUUCAACCCCCGGACUGCUCUGGAAACUGGACGGCUGGAGUGGAGGAGAGGUAAGUGGAAUGCGUAGUGUAGCGGUGAAAUGCGUAGAUAUUAGGAGGAACACCAGUGGCGAAGGCAGCUUACUGGACUGUAACUGACGUUGAGGCUCGAAAGCGUGGGGAGCAAACAGGAUUAGAUACCCGAGUAGUC